UUGGUGAAUAUGCAUAGACGAUGACUAUUCUCCCAUAUGUGCAUUGAACUUUUCCCUAAAGACGGAUAACUACAUUACAAAGUCGAAAUGGAAUAAAAAAGUUGAACUGCUCAACACAAAUUUUUCAUAGCUAGUUGUAUAAUUAUUAAAACAUUAGAAUAUAAUUCAAGGUCAAAUGUUGCAGGUGUUUAGCCAUUUUCAUCUCCCGGAUUUUUCUUUCUCCACACGAUUUCCAACUUUGUCACGUGUUUUGCUUUUGAGAUUUUCAAUAAUUAGUUGAAUUACCCUUGGAUUGCUCGAUUAAAUCUUUUUAAUGAUUGUUCUAUAUGUGGCUAUUAAUAUAACUCUGACAAAAUAAGUUAAUUUUAUCAUUUCUCACCCUAAUUUUAACAAAGAAUCACUAAUAAGGUACCUUGAAUCCCACCAGGAAUUUAUAUUUCUGUCAAUUAUCCCCACCGAUUCAAAAUAUAUGUGGUUUUCAGAUUCAUUGAUCAGGUCAAACUUUGUUAGCUUUAACUAAAAAUAUGCAAAAAUUUAUAUAGAUUGAUGAUAUAAGAUAGAGGUUACUAUAGGUUCAUCAGGAAAAAAACUACUUUCAAAAAAGGGAAGAAAUUUGUAAAAACCCACACCAUAUAUGUCACUGGCAAUAUUCUCCAAUAAGCCACUUUGUUGCAAAUCUACACCCCAUCUACUCCAUUAUGUUGCAAAAAAAAAAUGCAUAGUGCGCACAUGCUUAUGAACUGAUUCCACCCGUUUUCGGUGAUAGAGCCACGAAAGGCUAAGCAGACUGAGUCAAGCUUGUUCAAGUACUUGUAUUAAACUUCAUCAUAUUAUAGUAAAAUUUUU
This 846-nucleotide long non-coding RNA is filed under the name Setaria viridis. RNAcentral's name for it is "long non-coding RNA (SVIR_LNC004759)". The record is from RNAcentral. Lineage: Eukaryota; Viridiplantae; Streptophyta; Magnoliopsida; Poales; Poaceae.